GAUGAACGCUGGCGGCGUGCUUAACACAUGCAAGUCGAACGAAGCAUUUAAGACAGAUUACUUCGGUUUGAAGUCUUUUAUGACUGAGUGGCGGACGGGUGAGUAACGCGUGGGUAACCUGCCUCAUACAGGGGGAUAGCAGCUGGAAACGGCUGGUAAUACCGCAUAAGCGCACGGUAUCGCAUGAUACAGUGUGAAAAACUCCGGUGGUAUGAGAUGGACCCGCGUCUGAUUAGCUGGUUGGUGAGGUAACGGCCCACCAAGGCGACGAUCAGUAGCGACCUGAGAGGGUGACCGGCACAUUGGGACUGAGACACGGCCCAGGACUCCUACGGGAGGCAGCAGUGGGGGAUAUUGCAC
RNAcentral lists this ribosomal RNA (360 nucleotides) under uncultured bacterium. RNAcentral describes it as "bacterial SSU rRNA". It matches the Rfam family "Bacterial small subunit ribosomal RNA", at positions 28 to 369 of the family's 1533-position model. The record is from RNAcentral.